UACGUAGGGCGCAAGCGUUGUCCGGAAUCAUUGGGCGUAAAGAGCGUGUAGGCGGCCCGGUAAGUCCGCUGUGAAAGUCGGGGGCUCAACCCUCGAAAGCCGGUGGAUACUGUCGGGCUAGAGUGCGGAAGAGGCGAGUGGAAUUCCUGGUGUAGCGGUGAAAUGCGCAGAUAUCAGGAGGAACACCGAUUGCGAAGGCAGCUCGCUGGGACGUAACUGACGCUGAGACGCGAAAGCGUGGGGAGCAAACAGG
RNAcentral lists this ribosomal RNA (253 nucleotides) under uncultured bacterium. Its description in RNAcentral is "partial 16S ribosomal RNA". It matches the Rfam family "Bacterial small subunit ribosomal RNA", at positions 524 to 776 of the family's 1533-position model. The record is from RNAcentral.